GUGCCAGCAGCCGCGGUAAUACGAAGGGUGCAAGCGUUACUCGGAAUUACUGGGCGUAAAGCGUGCGUAGGUGGUUCGUUAAGUCUGAUGUGAAAGCCCUGGGCUCAACCUGGGAAUUGCAUUGGAUACUGGCGGGCUAGAGUGCGGUAGAGGGUAGUGGAAUUCCCGGUGUAGCAGUGAAAUGCGUAGAGAUCGGGAGGAACAUCCGUGGCGAAGGCGACUGCCUGGACCAGCACUGACACUGAGGCACGAAAGCGUGGGAGCAAACAGGAUUAGAUACCCUGGUAGUCCACGCCCUAAACGAUGCGAACUGGAUGUUGGUGCAACUUGGCACUCAGUAUCGAAGCUAACGCGUUAAGUUCGCCGCC
RNAcentral lists this ribosomal RNA (368 nucleotides) under uncultured Luteimonas sp. RNAcentral's name for it is "bacterial SSU rRNA". It matches the Rfam family "Bacterial small subunit ribosomal RNA", at positions 505 to 873 of the family's 1533-position model. The record is from RNAcentral. Lineage: Bacteria; Pseudomonadati; Pseudomonadota; Gammaproteobacteria; Lysobacterales; Lysobacteraceae.